Potamilus streckersoni is the source of this 73-nucleotide non-coding RNA. The record is from the annotation of a GenBank genome assembly. NCBI's taxonomy places the organism in Eukaryota, Metazoa, Mollusca, Bivalvia, Unionida, Unionidae.
GAUCCGGCGGCCUAGUGGUUAGAGUUUCCGCCUCGGAUGCAAAAAGUCGCGGGUUCGAACCCCGGUUGAGUCA